Molecule: long non-coding RNA, 153 nt
Organism: Rosa chinensis
Lineage: Eukaryota; Viridiplantae; Streptophyta; Magnoliopsida; Rosales; Rosaceae
Exons: 3
Source: RefSeq, a predicted model, not a curated record
AAAAAAAAAACCCUCAAGGACCCAAUUCAGACCGACCCCUUCGCCGUCAAGGACUACGAGGUUAUAUGGGAUUGAAUUGCACUCUUACGCAUAGCAGCCUCAUUUGCUGGGGUUGAAUCUUCUUAAGUAAUUGAACUAUUGCUGCCAUCCUUU